GUGAGUAGCCCUUAUUGGACGCAAAAGAAAACAUUUAACAGGCCUGCAACGGGGGAUGAACUGAUUAUUUUAUUUGUUGUUUUCCAUGCCGGCUUUUGUAUUUUCUUUUAUAUCUGUAUGCAUGUCCCUGUUUGUAAGAGGUGACUAAUUUCAUGUGAACACAUGCCUAAAGUUAUGUUAUACUAGGGAGAGUUUUUGACAGUUACUAUUUUGUGUGGCUUAUUAUUAGCUCCCUUAUUGAUAAUUUAGUUUCAACUGUAAGUUGCUGGUUUAUUGCAGUUCAUUGAUUAGGGAGGUUGCUAUUUUCAUUAUUGACCUAGUGCCCAUAUCAAUUGAGUUUGCUAUACAUUUCUUCAAUAUAGUUUAAAUAGCCUAAACAUAACUAAAUCUUAUUUGUGGUAGGGAAUCAUUAUUAUUUCAAAUACAUGACUAUUUUGGUUAAAUAAAUUAUUUGUAGAUAAUUGUAAAUGUGUUAUGGACUCCACUCACUUCAAUUAGUUGACAUUAUUCAGGUGGCACAAAGUGAACUCAGGUAACAGCCGAGUCUUAACAGGGAAUUGACUCUAGGGCUACACUUAUUUAUCUCAAAUGCUAUGUAUACAGUUCAACAUUUGGAAGUGCUAAUCCACCGCAAUCUUGUGAAGUUAGUAGUUUCUUAAGUCUAAUUCUGGGCCUUUUCCCAUUCCAUAAGAACUCUGUAAUUAACUUGUUAUAUUGCUUAAAGAUUCCAUCAGAAACUGUCACUGGGAUCAUCAUAUAAAUGUAAUUCAAUUGUGGAGCCACCACUAUCUUAAUGAUACUCAUUUUUCCCCACAAAGUCAGUUUAAGUAGCUUCCAUUUGUCCAAAUUCAGCUUAAUUUUCUGUAUUAAAGGGGACAAGUUAAUAUUAAUUAUGUUUUCCAACUCUGGACACAAUCUUAUACCUAAAUAUUUCAAUCCAGUUUGGACCCACUUAAACUGAAAUUUGGCAAAUAUUGAUUGACUGCAUUCUUUCGAUAUCGGCAUACAUUCAGAUUUCUGCCAAUCUAUUUUAUAGCCUGACAGUUUUGAAAAAGACUAUUGAUGCCAGAAGAUGAGGUAUUGACAGUAGAGGAUCCUCAAUAACCAAUAAAAUAUCGUCUGCAUAGAGGAACAUUUUGUAUUCCUCUUCCCCAUGUGAGACCCCUUUUAAUUCUGCUCUCGGCAAUAGCUAGGGGUUCCAGAAAUAAUGUAAAUAGCAGAGGGCUGAGAGGAUCUCCCCGCUUAGUUCCACAUGUCAAUUUAAAGUAACAGUAUGCAACAAUUGUACCUUAAAAUAACAGCUUGAAAAAAAUUGUGCCGCUACAAUGACUUUUAAUAUGGCGAUUUGCGCCUCCGCCAUUGCCAUCGGGGGUCUGUGGGGAAAUAACUCCGCUAUGUAGGAUUCUGAGGCCGCCCGAUCUGGGGGCGGAUGUACUUCGACCUGCUUUCUGGCAGUGAUUACGCAAUGUCAUAUAGUGCCAGUCCACGCUCGCAGCUACAGUAUAAGGGAGAAGCAAGCGAAGUCUCAUCAGUAAUCAUCAUGGAGAACGCACCAAAGAAACAGAAGAAGACGAUGUCUGAUGAAGCAAAGAAGAGAAAAAGAGAGGCCGACAGAGCAAGAGAUCGGACUAGGGUCACAAUCGGAACAGCUUUUACUCGUUGGAGAGAGAGCUGAAAGACACAUUUGGAUACAAGUUCGAUUCACAGCUAGCCAUCUUUCUGCUGGAUUACGGUAGGGAAUGUCUACUCCCAGCAAGGGACAUGCACAGCCACCACCGCCGCCUGUAUCUAGUAUUUCAGAAGAGUCCGACCGAGAUGGGGACAAAGAAUUCGCUAUGCAAGGUGUUCAACCGUUGGGCAAAGAAACCGAAGCGGUUGGUGUGCUAGAAUCUAGCAUGCACUCCUUGAGCAUUGCUGAAGAGGAGCAGCAUGACUCUCUGGAUGAGGAGGAGGCGAAUUAUAUGAGGAAUAGCAUUAUUGACAUGGAUGAUUGCUGGGAGGAUCCUAAUCAGAAGGGCUUGGAAGAAGAUCGGGACAGCUCUGAUGAAGACUAUAGUCCUUUUCUUCAUCUACGUGCCCCAGCUAUGACUGCCAACAUAAACCAACUCCUGGAGAUAAGCAUGGAUAAAGCCGUGCUUGAUGUGGCAACACCCAAUCCUCCAGGUGAGGACAUACAAGAAACUCCAGAACAACAAAAAGUUUCAGGUAUGCCCCUAUAGUUAUGCAAAUGCUAGUAGUUGUCAUACAUUUGCACAUACACACAAGCACUU
Long non-coding RNA from Clupea harengus (Atlantic herring), 2270 nucleotides. The record is from Ensembl. NCBI's taxonomy places the organism in Eukaryota, Metazoa, Chordata, Actinopteri, Clupeiformes, Clupeidae.